GAUGAACGCUGGCGGCGUGCCUAAUACAUGCAAGUCGAGCGAACAGACGAGGAGCUCGCUCCUCUUACGUUAGCGGCGGAUGGGUGAGUAACACGUGUAUAACUUACCUAUAAGACUAGGAUACCUUCGGGAAACCUGAGCUAAUACCGGUUAUUAUAUUGAACCUCAUGGUUCUAUAGUGCAAGCCGGUUUUGCUGUCACUUAUACAUGGUUCCUCGCCGCAUUAGCUAGUUGGUAGGGUAACGGCUUACCAAGGCAACGAUGCGUAGCGGAUCGGAGAGGAUGAUCGGUCACACUGGAACUGAGACACGGUACAGAAUCCUACGGGAGGCAGCAGUAGGGAAUAUUCCGCAAUGGGCGAAAGCCUGAGGCAGCAACGCCGCGUGAGUGAAGAAGGUCUUCGGAUAGGAAAACUCUGUAAAUAGGGAAGAACAAAUGUGAAAGUAGAUAUGCACGUCUUGACGGUACCAAAUCAAAAAGCCACGGCUAACUACGUG
RNAcentral lists this ribosomal RNA (497 nucleotides) under uncultured bacterium. RNAcentral's name for it is "partial 16S ribosomal RNA". It matches the Rfam family "Bacterial small subunit ribosomal RNA", at positions 28 to 507 of the family's 1533-position model. The record is from RNAcentral.